RNAcentral lists this unclassified non-coding RNA (241 nucleotides) under uncultured Leotiomycetes. RNAcentral's name for it is "sequence contains ITS2". The stretch from base 1 to 52 matches the Rfam family "5.8S ribosomal RNA", at positions 103 to 154 of the family's 154-position model. Lineage: Eukaryota; Fungi; Ascomycota; Leotiomycetes. The record is from RNAcentral.
AACGCACAUUGCGCCCUCUGGUAUUCCGGGGGGCAUGCCUGUUCGAGCGUCAUUACAACCCUCAAGCUCUGCUUGGUAUUAGGCCUCGCCUGUAUGGGCGGGCCUUAAAAUCAGUGGCGGUGCCAUUUGGCUUCAAGCGUAGUAAUUUUUCUCGCUCUGGAGGACCGAUUGUGUGCCUGCCAGAAACCCCAAUUUAUCAAAGGUUGACCUCGGAUCAGGUAGGGAUACCCGCUGAACUUAA